AACAGGUAAUUGGAGAACAGCCAUCUGGAGAUUUAAAACUACCAGUAAAGUAUUAGGGGAUGCCUUACCCAAGACUAACUCAGCAAACUUCAUGAAGGAGCAUGGAUUUUGAACCUGUUACACCUAAAUCUGUACUCACCACAGGUUAUUAUAAAGAUGCUAUUUUUGAACAACAAAUAGUGCUGGAAAACUGUGGUGCAAAGAGUUGGAAACUGACCGUGGGGGAGAAUUGCGAUUGUUGUUUUCAGUGCUAAUUGCCAUAAAGCAAACAUUUGGACAGUAUUCAUUCAUUUGGAAAGCAAGCAAGCAAGCAAGCAAGCAAGCAAGCAAGCAAGCAAGCAAGCAAGAAAGAAAGAAAGAAAGAAAGAAAGAAAGAAAGAAAGAAAGAAAGAAAGAAAGAAAGAAAGAAAGAAAGAAAGAAAGAAAGAAAGAAAGAAAGAAAGAAUCUCCAUGCCACACCAGCAGGACAUAGGAUGACAACACUGAUUGCAAAAAAUAAUGCAAAUUGAUGUUUAAUUGAGAAGGUAUUCUUAAAACAAUGAAGAUUAUGGAUUUACAAAAGUAUGCAAGAGAAAACUGCUUGCAAAAUUAAACACCUUAUUCCAUUA
Molecule: long non-coding RNA, 608 nt
Organism: Sphaerodactylus townsendi
Lineage: Eukaryota; Metazoa; Chordata; Lepidosauria; Squamata; Sphaerodactylidae
Exons: 2
Source: RefSeq, a predicted model, not a curated record